RNAcentral lists this ribosomal RNA (253 nucleotides) under uncultured bacterium. RNAcentral describes it as "partial 16S ribosomal RNA". It matches the Rfam family "Bacterial small subunit ribosomal RNA", at positions 524 to 776 of the family's 1533-position model. The record is from RNAcentral.
UACGUAGGGGGCUAGCGUUGUCCGGAAUCAUUGGGCGUAAAGAGCGUGUAGGCGGCCCGGUAAGUCCGCUGUGAAAGUCCAGGGCUCAACCCUGGAAUGCCGGUGGAAACUGUCGAGCUAGAGUCCGGAAGAGGCGAGUGGAAUUCCUGGUGUAGCGGUGAAAUGCGCAGAUAUCAGGAGGAACACCAAUGGCGAAGGCAGCUCGCUGGGACGGUACUGACGCUGAGACGCGAAAGCGUGGGGAGCAAACAGG